This 511-nucleotide ribosomal RNA is filed under the name swine fecal bacterium FPC54. RNAcentral describes it as "bacterial SSU rRNA". It matches the Rfam family "Bacterial small subunit ribosomal RNA", at positions 7 to 511 of the family's 1533-position model. The record is from RNAcentral.
GAGAGUUUGAUUCUGGCUCAGGAUGAACGCUGGCGGCGUGCCUAAUACAUGCAAGUCGAACGAAUCUUCUUCGGAAGAUGAGUGGCGAACGGGUGAGUAAUACAUAGGUAACCUGCCCCUGUGCGGGGGAUAACAGGAGGAAACUCCUGCUAAUACCGCAUAGCCAUGAGCACCGCAUGGAGCUCAUGCCAAAUAUCCUUUAUGGGAUAGCGCAGGGAUGGACCUAUGGCGCAUUAGCUUGUUGGCGGGGCAACGGCCCACCAAGGCAACGAUGCGUAGCCGGCCUGAGAGGGCGGACGGCCACAUUGGGACUGAGACACGGCCCAGACUCCUACGGGAGGCAGCAGUAGGGAAUUUUCGGCAAUGGGGGAAACCCUGACCGAGCAACGCCGCGUGAGCGAAGAAGGCCUUCGGGUCGUAAAGCUCUGUUGUAAAGGAAGAACGUCGCAUGCAGGAAAUGGUGUGCGAGUGACGGUACUUUACCAGAAAGCCACGGCUAACUACGUGCCCA